GACGAACGCUGGCGGCGUGCUUAACACAUGCAAGUCGAGCGGUAAGGCCCUUUCGGGGGUACGACGAGCGGCGAACGGGUGAGUAACACGUGGGUGACCUGCCCUCAGCUCUGGGAUAAGCCCGGGAAACUGGGUCUAAUACUGGAUAUGACUCCACGGUGCAUGCCGGUGGGGUGGAAAGCCUUGUGCGGCUGAGGAUGGGCCCGCGGCCUAUCAGCUUGUUGGUGGGGUGANGGCCUACCAAGGCGACGACGGGUAGCCGGCCUGAGAGGGCGACCGGCCACAC
This 286-nucleotide ribosomal RNA is filed under the name uncultured bacterium. RNAcentral's name for it is "partial 16S ribosomal RNA". It matches the Rfam family "Bacterial small subunit ribosomal RNA", at positions 28 to 313 of the family's 1533-position model. The record is from RNAcentral.